CUAGAGAUGGAUCUCUUCCAGCAAUGGACCUGCACACAGGUGCUGCAUGGCUGUCGUCAGCUCGUGUCGUGAGAUGUGGGUUAAGUCCCGCAACGAGCGCAACCCUCGCCUUAGUUGCCAUCAUUCAGUUGGGCACUCUAAAGGGACUGCCGGUGAUAAGCCGCGAGGAAGGUGGGGAUGACGUCAAGUCCUCAUGGCCCUUACGGGCUGGGCUACACACGUGCUACAAUGGCGGUGACAGUGGGAUGCAAAGGGGCGACCCCUCGCAAAUCUCAAAAAGCCGUCUCAGUUCGGAUUGUACUCUGCAACUCGAGUGCAUGAAGUUGGAAUCGCUAGUAAUCGUGGAUCAGCAUGCCACGGUGAAUACGUUCCCGGGCCUU
This 380-nucleotide ribosomal RNA is filed under the name uncultured Xanthobacter sp. RNAcentral's name for it is "bacterial SSU rRNA". It matches the Rfam family "Bacterial small subunit ribosomal RNA", at positions 1000 to 1382 of the family's 1533-position model. The record is from RNAcentral. Lineage: Bacteria; Pseudomonadati; Pseudomonadota; Alphaproteobacteria; Hyphomicrobiales; Xanthobacteraceae.